RNAcentral lists this transfer RNA (74 nucleotides) under Cyanobacterium aponinum PCC 10605. RNAcentral describes it as "tRNA-Arg (CCG) (tRNA-Arg-CCG-1-1)". It matches the Rfam family "tRNA". From Rfam's summary of the family: Transfer RNA (tRNA) molecules are approximately 80 nucleotides in length. Their secondary structure includes four short double-helical elements and three loops (D, anti-codon, and T loops). Further hydrogen bonds mediate the characteristic L-shaped molecular structure. tRNAs have two regions of fundamental functional importance: the anti-codon, which is responsible for specific mRNA codon recognition, and the 3' end, to which the tRNAs corresponding amino acid is attached (by aminoacyl-tRNA synthetases). tRNAs cope with the degeneracy of the genetic code in two manners: having more than one tRNA (with a specific anti-codon) for a particular amino acid; and 'wobble' base-pairing, i.e. permitting non-standard base-pairing at the 3rd anti-codon position. RNAcentral also lists the same sequence under 9 other names. Lineage: Bacteria; Bacillati; Cyanobacteriota; Cyanophyceae; Chroococcales; Geminocystaceae. The record is from Rfam by way of RNAcentral.
GGGUGCGUAGCUCAGUUGGAUAGAGCACCAGAUUCCGGUUCUGGGUGUCGGGGGUUCAAAUCCCUCCGUACUCG